RNAcentral lists this ribosomal RNA (1363 nucleotides) under uncultured bacterium. Its description in RNAcentral is "bacterial SSU rRNA". It matches the Rfam family "Bacterial small subunit ribosomal RNA", at positions 28 to 1381 of the family's 1533-position model. The record is from RNAcentral.
AUUGAACGCUGGCGGCAGGCCUAACACAUGCAAGUCGAACGGUAACAGAAAGCAGCUUGCUGCUUUGCUGACGAGUGGCGGACGGGUGAGUAAUGUCUGGGAAACUGCCUGAUGGAGGGGGAUAACUACUGGAAACGGUAGCUAAUACCGCAUAACGUCGCAAGACCAAAGAGGGGGACCUUCGGGCCUCUUGCCAUCGGAUGUGCCCAGAUGGGAUUAGCUUGUUGGUGGGGUAACGGCUCACCAAGGCGACGAUCCCUAGCUGGUCUGAGAGGAUGACCAGCCACACUGGAACUGAGACACGGUCCAGACUCCUACGGGAGGCAGCAGUGGGGAAUAUUGCACAAUGGGCGCAAGCCUGAUGCAGCCAUGCCGCGUGUAUGAAGAAGGCCUUCGGGUUGUAAAGUACUUUCAGCGGGGAGGAAGGGAGUAAAGUUAAUACCUUUGCUCAUUGACGUUACCCGCAGAAGAAGCACCGGCUAACUCCGUGCCAGCAGCCGCGGUAAUACGGAGGGUGCAAGCGUUAAUCGGAAUUACUGGGCGUAAAGCGCACGCAGGCGGUUUGUUAAGUCAGAUGUGAAAUCCCCGGGCUCAACCUGGGAACUGCAUCUGAUACUGGCAAGCUUGAGUCUCGUAGAGGGGGGUAGAAUUCCAGGUGUAGCGGUGAAAUGCGUAGAGAUCUGGAGGAAUACCGGUGGCGAAGGCGGCCCCCUGGACGAAGACUGACGCUCAGGUGCGAAAGCGUGGGGAGCAAGCAGGAUUAGAUACCCUGGUAGUCCACGCCGUAAACGAUGUCGACUUGGAGGUUGUGCCCUUGAGGCGUGGCUUCCGGAGCUAACGCGUUAAGUCGACCGCCUGGGGAGUACGGCCGCAAGGUUAAAACUCAAAUGAAUUGACGGGGGCCCGCACAAGCGGUGGAGCAUGUGGUUUAAUUCGAUGCAACGCGAAGAACCUUACCUGGUCUUGACAUCCACGGAAGUUUUCAGAGAUGAGAAUGUGCCUUCGGGAACCGUGAGACAGGUGCUGCAUGGCUGUCGUCAGCUCGUGUUGUGAAAUGUUGGGUUAAGUCCCGCAACGAGCGCAACCCUUAUCCUUUGUUGCCAGCGGUCCGGCCGGGAACUCAAAGGAGACUGCCAGUGAUAAACUGGAGGAAGGUGGGGAUGACGUCAAGUCAUCAUGGCCCUUACGACCAGGGCUACACACGUGCUACAAUGGCGCAUACAAAGAGAAGCGACCUCGCGAGAGCAAGCGGACCUCAUAAAGUGCGUCGUAGUCCGGAUUGGAGUCUGCAACUCGACUCCAUGAAGUCGGAAUCGCUAGUAAUCGUGGAUCAGAAUGCCACGGUGAAUACGUUCCCGGGCCU